GAUACUUGUUAUUAUCAGCCCGAA
Molecule: non-coding RNA, 24 nt
Filed under: Gossypium hirsutum (cotton)
Lineage: Eukaryota; Viridiplantae; Streptophyta; Magnoliopsida; Malvales; Malvaceae
Source: RNAcentral